UACCAUGUCAAAGAUUAUGUCACUGAAGUUUAUGUUUGAAACUCUGUGUUUGAAACCGUCAAAUGAAGGCAUUUUUGGAUAAAAUAUUUUUUGGUGUUAUCUACUUCACCAUAUUGCUCCUUUCAGUACGAAACCUUCGGAGCCAGAAGAGUUACCCUCAAAAGUAGCAUUCACCUAGAGUGUAGAAUAUGGACAAAAGAUUAAUGAAGCAUUGGUAAGUGAGUAAAACGUUUUCCUUAGAAGUAUUGGAAGAGAAUUAGUCAUACGUGGAAUGUUUUGGUCAUUCAAAUGACGAAAAGAUAUAUGUUGUAUGGUAAAAUUUUAGUGAGUCUACACCAAGUACUACAACAUGACUAAAGAAAAUGUGGUGCCGUCUAUUUUGACACAAAACAAAACAUCACUACAGGACCCUACUCCUCAGGAUUUGAAAUGGACAAUUCUGUUUUGAAUGUACCUAUACACUCCUAGAAACCAGCUAACAUAAUUUGAAUCUAAAAAUCUAACCCAAUUUGUAUCACCGGAGAUGACCAAUUGUCGUAAAAUAGUUUUUAUAAUUUUUGUACCCAUUAAAAAUAAA
Molecule: long non-coding RNA, 577 nt
Organism: Zophobas morio
Lineage: Eukaryota; Metazoa; Arthropoda; Insecta; Coleoptera; Tenebrionidae
Exons: 3
Source: RefSeq, a predicted model, not a curated record